RNAcentral lists this long non-coding RNA (215 nucleotides) under Panax ginseng (ginseng). RNAcentral describes it as "long non-coding RNA (PGIN_LNC007380)". The record is from RNAcentral. Lineage: Eukaryota; Viridiplantae; Streptophyta; Magnoliopsida; Apiales; Araliaceae.
CGAUGGCUAGCAGACUGGUGAUGGAAAUGGUGAUCGAGGGGACGACGACGCUAAUUUUCAUACACCAGAGAAGCAUUGUCGUCCACCCCCGGCUGAUGAUGAUCCUUUUACUAGUUUAUAGUUCAUUUGUAUUCAUUUUAUUCAUUAAACUAUAGAUCCUUUGUACAUAUUGUAGUCUAAUUGAGUCUGUACGAGUUUUGUAAAUCAUAUUGUAU